GAUGAACGCUAGCUACAGGCUUAACACAUGCAAGUCGAGGGGAAACGAUAUUGGAAGCUUGCUUCCGAUAGGCGUCGACCGGCGCACGGGUGAGUAACGCGUAUCCAACCUGCCCAUCACUUGGGGAUAACCUUGCGAAAGUAAGACUAAUACCCAAUGACGUCUCUAGAAGACAUCUGAAAGAGAUUAAAGAUUUAUCGGUGAUGGAUGGGGAUGCGUCUGAUUAGCUUGUUGGCGGGGUAACGGCCCACCAAGGCGACGAUCAGUAGGGGUUCUGAGAGGAAGGUCCCCACAUUGGAACUGAGACACGGUCCAAACUCCUACGGGAGGCAGCAGUGAGGAAUAUUGGUCAAUGGACGAGAGUCUGAACCAGCCAAGUAGCGUGCAGGAUGACGGCCCUAUGGGUUGUAAACUGCUUUUAUAAGGGAAUAAAGUGGGAGUCGUGACUCUUUUUGCAUGUACCUUAUGAAUAAGGACCGGCUAAUUCCGUGCCAGCAGCCGCGG
Molecule: ribosomal RNA, 504 nt
Filed under: uncultured bacterium
Lineage: Bacteria
Description: bacterial SSU rRNA
Rfam family: Bacterial small subunit ribosomal RNA
Source: RNAcentral